This 1117-nucleotide long non-coding RNA is filed under the name Callithrix jacchus (white-tufted-ear marmoset). RNAcentral describes it as "lncRNA (ENSCJAG00000072552.1)". The record is from RNAcentral. Lineage: Eukaryota; Metazoa; Chordata; Mammalia; Primates; Cebidae.
CGGCUCCAUCUUUGCCUGCUGCACAUACACAUUUCAUGUUCAAGGGUCAUUCAGACCCCACCCCAGUCUCUCCUCUUUCCAGACUUCCACCAGCUCGAGGCUAUGGUGUGUAACAGACUUUGCUGACAUCCUAACGACAUCAAAGCCUUCUACCCAACAGAGCCAACACCUAAACCUGUAGGAGUCCGCACAGCCUUCCCACCUCCGGGGACGGCUCAUCUUCCUCUCCUCCAUGUGGGCUCCGGCACCCACCUUCUUGCUCCUCUCUCCCCAGCUUCCAGCCCCUAGAGUGCUUGUUCAUCUCCCUUGAAGAGUACUUUAGCUAUCUCUUUGUCUCAUUUCUAGCCCAUUUCUGCUUUGCCUGGAGGGAGAGCUUUCCCCUACCUAGGUAUCUCAUCAAGAGGUUUUGCUCAACAAAAGCUCUUGCCUAAAGGAAAACGAAUUCUGCCCCAGAUUGUUUGUUUGUUUUUUUCUCCUCACUACAUAAACAGACUUAAGGAACAUUUUGAAAGCAGACAUUCAUAUUGUGGAAUGUUCCUUUUCUGGUAACUGACCUUGGAGGGAUUAUCUCACCCCUUGCUACUCCAAGUGUGAUCCAUGAACCAGCAACGUCAGCACCAAUUGGGAGUUUAUUAUUAGAAGCAGAAUCUCAGCCCAGCCCAGACCUACUGAGUAAGGAUCUGCAUUUUAACAGAUCCCCAGGCAAUAAGCCUCCUGGCUCAGCCCUGGAGAUGGGAAGUGGCAAAGAAGUACGGUUUAAAGUGGGAAGCAAAAUGACUGUAGGCAUAAAGCUGGUGAAAUGGGAUCCCCACACAACUGUAACGAUGAAAACUCCUCUGAGAGUGGAGGUAAGUAUGGUUUUGGGGUUGGGGUGAGACCCCAAGGCAGCAGGACACUUGAGCGCCACUAAAUUGUGGCUUAACUGUCUUCUAGAAACGCAGGUUCCUGUUACUUCCAAGAACUUUUGUUUUGCUGAGUGGUUUAUGCAAAUGUGGAGCCUCUGGGUGGCCCACAGGGUGGUGAAGUACAGAGGGAACGGGCACUCCUUCUCAGCCACCCCAGAGGGCUCCCUGGUGCCUUUUCCCAGUCAAUCCUCAUCACCAGAUUCAUUUAGCCU